GGUAUAGCUCAGUGGCACAGCGCUUGCCUGACAAGCAACUGCAAGGUCCUGAGUUUGAGUCCCAGUAUC
Molecule: transfer RNA, 69 nt
Filed under: Cavia porcellus (domestic guinea pig)
Lineage: Eukaryota; Metazoa; Chordata; Mammalia; Rodentia; Caviidae
Rfam family: tRNA
About the family: Transfer RNA (tRNA) molecules are approximately 80 nucleotides in length. Their secondary structure includes four short double-helical elements and three loops (D, anti-codon, and T loops).
Source: Rfam by way of RNAcentral